GUUGGCUUGGACGAAAGGCGGGGAGAGAGAGGAGGCAGAGCCCCGCGGGUGGGGGGAAUGUUGUUAAAACACUUUCUUACCGUAAGAGGGAGUUGGGACCCAGAGCUUUCCAGUUAAUCACACAACAAAACUUGGCUCAUCGCAAUAAAAAGCUGCUCGGCUCGCUCUGCCUCCUCUGUUGACUGGCUGGGCAUCUCUUCUUCAGCUCCUUGGAGACCCUUGGGUAGUGCAAAAAAGCCCCUCAAACUACCAUGUGGAGCAACACGCUUCUGCCACUCGGGCUCUUCCUUCAUGCCAUCAUCGCCAUCCCUUUGGCAGAAGGCAAAGGGAAAAGAAAUGCCCUUCAUGACUACAGGAAGACUGCCGAUACUACAUUAAUGAGAGUAGACAAGAGAUUAAAAGUCAGAACCAAGCUUCUAAACACCACAGAACAGUGUGCCAAGAGAUGCAACAGAAAUAAAGGACUUUCAUUCUCUUGCAAGGCUUUUGCAUUUGAUAAAACUGCCAAACGCUGCCACUGGUUAUCCUUUACUAGCCUAGAAAAUGGAGUGAAGAGAAAGCAAGACAGCACAUUUGAUUUCUAUGAGAAGAAAGAUUAUGUUAGAAAUUGUAUCAUUGGUAAAGGAGCAAGUUAUAAGGGAACUAUAUCAUUCACAAAAAGUGGUGUUCAGUGCCAAGCAUGGAAUUCUACAAUACCUCAUGAACACAGCUUUUUGCCUUCGAGCUAUCGAGGUAAAGAUCUUCGGGAAAACUACUGCCGCAACCCCCGAGGGGAAGAAGGGGGGCCCUGGUGUUUCACAAGCAAUCCAAAGAUUCGUCAUGAAGUCUGUAACAUCCCCCUCUGUUCAGAAGUUGAAUGCAUGACAUGCAAUGGGGAAAGCUAUAGAGGCCCAAUGGACCACACAGAAACUGGCAAGGAAUGUCAGCGUUGGGAUCUUCAGAAACCGCACAGACACCCAUUUCGUCCAGAGAAAUAUCCUGACAAAGGCUUUGAUGAUAAUUACUGCCGCAAUCCGGAUGGCAAGCUGAGGCCAUGGUGCUACACACUUGACCCAAACACCCCUUGGGAGUUUUGCACAAUUAAAAUGUGUGCUCAGGAUGUGGUGAACAACACUUCAGCAGCAGAAACGACUGAGUGUAUCCGAGGACAAGGAGAGGGCUACCGCGGUACUGUGAGCACAAUAUGGAGCGGGACUGAGUGUCAGCGCUGGGACUCUCAGACUCCCCAUCAACACAACUUCACACCAGAGAACUUCAAAUGCAGGAAUGCUGCUGCUAUACAAGCUCUGGUUAUGUGGAACCAAGAUCUCCUUCAGCUGCUCACUCAUCAGUUUUAAAUUGUUUAGCUGUGGCAUGUCAAACGUUUCACUCAGCCCUCAUGCACUGAACUGGCAUUACAGCAACAUAUAGAUGGCAACAAUUGCUGAGACCACAGAGAAUAUUCUUGUUUGAGGAAUACAUGGUGUGACAAGAAGGGCAUCUCUCCACUGUGCCACCUACUUACUUCUGAGAUGUUUGCUAGCCCAAGUUGUGUGGUCAUGACCAAGACAUUGUGCGACAGUCAAUUGUUUCUUCCCUCAGCCAUCUUCUUACAAGAAGAACUAAUCGGAACUAGUGACACUAAAGCAAUAGAGUAUACUGUUGUGGAUGCUGGAAGACCUUUCUUGGUUAGGCUGAUGGCUUUCUAAUAGUUCCGGAUGAUUUUAUCAAGGGGAGUUAAUGACAGGGAAUGUUCUCCUGAUAGAUGUGGAUUUCUCUUCAGCUUUUAUAAUGUAAUAUCUAUCAGUGUUUAGAAAGUGGCACUCUCCGGCUGUGGGAAGAUUAGAAAAAGAGUUUGAAGCCGUUUGCAUUUUGGACUUGGAGACAGGAGAGUUUCUAGCCAGAGUUGGCAGUAAUGAGUUGGUAAUGAGUUGCUCAUUAAUGAGUUGCUGCCAUGGAGGUUUGCAAUUGCAGCAGUUGCUGUCUAGGGUUACUGAAUUUGCUUCCUAAUUUUUAGAAUCUGCUUCCAAUAGGCUCAGCUUGUAUAUGUAUAUUUGUAAAUAAAACAAAUAUAAAGAAGCCAUAGGUCUAUUACACACUAUCAUUCAAAGGAAACUAACUGCCUCUGUAACUUCUCACUGUUUGGGAAAUGGGAGCACUUAACUUUACCUUUUGUAGAUUCUGGUUUGCAGCCCAAUCCUAUGCCCACUUUUAGUCCUAAGUCUUACCAUGUCCAGCAAAACCUACUCCCAGGAAAGUGUCAUAGAGUUGUGAAGAGCACAAUCCUAGACAGGUUUACCCAAAACAAGCCUCACUAUGUUCAAUGGGGCUUACUCCCACAUAAGUGUGCAGAGCAUUGCAGCCUUGAUCAUCUUUAUACUUGUGUCUUUAACCCUUUGUAUGUGCAUAAGCAAAAAAGAGCCUAAGUCCCAGCUUACUUGUCACCCCAGCCGGUCUCCAAACUUCACUUAUAAGAGAACAUUGUUUAUAAAGAAAAAUCGAUGGGUAUUUUAGCAAGGGACCGAUUAUUAUGGAUCACUGAAUGGCUGGGAUGGGAAGUGCUUCAUGCACACAGUUGUAACGUAUUGUUGGCAAUGAUUCUGUCAAUGCCAUAUGUUUGGAAUCAAAUCAUUGUGGCAUAGGGUUUACUUAGUGUUGAUGCUCCAAUUGUCAUGUCAUGAUGAUUUAGCAACAAGCUGGGAUAUCCAGUUUAUGGUAGACAUUCUCAUCUUGCCAUUCCCCGGACAUUUGCACUCCUCCUCUCUUGAGGCAUGCAUUACUCGAGUACUGCAGACAACCACAACUUUUCUGUAGUGUAGUAGCAAAAGUGUACCCACAUUUAGGAGGAGAUCUUUUUUCCAAUUUUUGCCAAAGAGGUGCAUUUCAUGGAUGCCACCAUGUCUAGUACAGGAUGCUUUUUUAUGGUGAUAGAAACAGCCUCUAGCCUGCCCACCUUCAGCAGUAUGAGCCCUAUGGAUGGCAAAUGUGGGAGAACUCUUAAGUAAUCAUACUUAAAUAGUUCAUAGGACUCCAGCUGAACCACUGCAACUCUGCUCUGUGUUCCGUUUCAGACGAUGCCUGCCACCUCAGUGUAGCAGCAAAUCUGUGCCAUGUGAAUGAUGACAAUGCCACUUCUUUGUGUUGCACCGGGGGUGGUGCAUGGAUCUUCCAAUGCUAGUGGCAAUGGAGCAUAUGGUCAUCUUCAUGAUAUUACUGCAAUGCAUAGAAAUUAGUUCAUUAAGCAAGGUUACAAGAAGUUAUAUUGCGCAUUGUAUGAAAUGGAAAUAAAAUGGCUUGUAAUGGGAAGGGGACAUAGUCCAAGCCCAUGCUUUGCAUGCAGAAGAUCUCUGGUUCAGUCCCUGGCACCUCUAGGUUUAUUUAUUGUUGAAUUUCUAUACCACCUUUCAUUAAAAACAACCCCAAGGCGGUUUACAAAAGUUAAAAACAUAUAAUAAAAAUGACAAUUAAAAUAUUAAACUAAAAAUAUUAUUUAUUUAUUGUUGAGGUUGGGUUGCGAGCGACCUCUGUCAGAAAUUCUGGAGAGUGAUAUAGAUGGAGCAAUGCUCUGACUUGUUCUAAGACAGCUUCCUAAGUUUGGUCAUAUUUAUACACCAUAUUUAUUUUUGUUGCUAUAAUUGUACAGUUUUGUUGCUAUAAUUGUACACUGGGAACAUGCAUUAUUGAACAGUACAUGAGCUUAAUUUUAUUUGUGUUAAAUUUCAUUAAUCUGUGUAAUAAAAUGUGUGUGAUUUGUAUUUUAGCAACAAUAUGGCCACAUAUAAACAAUGUUCAAUAAAUGCAGUGUUGUUUUCCCUUU
This is an RNA transcript of Hemicordylus capensis (graceful crag lizard), 3796 nucleotides long. It is a transcript of the gene named hepatocyte growth factor, with no coding region annotated. The transcript is spliced from 10 exons. Lineage: Eukaryota; Metazoa; Chordata; Lepidosauria; Squamata; Cordylidae. The record is from RefSeq and is a predicted model, not a curated record.